Unclassified non-coding RNA from Ictidomys tridecemlineatus (thirteen-lined ground squirrel), 334 nucleotides. Its record names the gene 7SK. It matches the Rfam family "7SK RNA". Rfam says of the family: 7SK was discovered as an abundant small nuclear RNA in the mid-70s but a possible function has only recently been suggested. Two independent studies have found that 7SK RNA binds the CDK9/cyclin T complex (known as elongation factor P-TEFb). The record is from Ensembl. Lineage: Eukaryota; Metazoa; Chordata; Mammalia; Rodentia; Sciuridae.
GGAUGUGAGGAUGAACUGGCUGUGACAUCUGUCACCCCACUGAUUGCCCAGGUUGAUUUUAGCUGAUCUAGCUGGCUAGGUGGGAGUCCCCUUGCUCCCUCACCACUCCAUGUACAUCCCACCCGAAGCUGCAAAGCUGUGUGCUUGGUCAAAGAGGAUGACCUUCCCCGAUAGAGGAGGAGUGGUCUUCAUUCAAGGGUAUACAGACUAGCUGAGCUCCCCUGCUAGAACCUCCAAACAAGCUCUCAAGACAUGAAAGUAAAACUAAGGAAAAAAGUAAUAGCUGCUUCAGAUGAAGUCUGAAUUAUGUACAAGCCAAAAACUAUUAAGAAUU